GGUUUUGGUCCUUUCAGCAUAAGGAAUGGGUUUGGCCUGGGCCUCACAAGACAUUGUUUUGGGCUCCUUAUGUGAUUGGAUUCGGAUCAUUACAUUCAAGUGUGUGAUACACGCACCAUAUUCAUAUGCUACGAUGGAAGCAAGCAGGAAUUUUCACAUGAUUCAUUUAUUAAAAUUUGUAAUGCCGAUUAAAUCAAAAUCCAAU
This 205-nucleotide unclassified non-coding RNA is filed under the name Hevea brasiliensis (rubber tree). The record is from RNAcentral. Lineage: Eukaryota; Viridiplantae; Streptophyta; Magnoliopsida; Malpighiales; Euphorbiaceae.